This 451-nucleotide ribosomal RNA is filed under the name uncultured bacterium. RNAcentral's name for it is "partial 16S ribosomal RNA". It matches the Rfam family "Bacterial small subunit ribosomal RNA", at positions 29 to 523 of the family's 1533-position model. The record is from RNAcentral.
AACGAACGCUGGCGGCAGGCUUAACACAUGCAAGUCGAACGGUUGUAGCAAUACAGCAGUGGCGCACGGGUGAGUAACGCGUGGGAACGUACCUUUUAGUUCGGAAUAACCAUUGGAAACGAUGGCUAAUACUGGAUACGCCCUUCGGGGGAAAGAUUUAUCGCUAAAAGAUCGGCCCGCGUAAGAUUAGGUAGUUGGUGGGGUAAUGGCCUACCAAGCCUACGAUCUUUAGCUGGUCUGAGAGGAUGAUCAGCCACACUGGAACUGAGACACGGUCCAGACUCCUACGGGAGGCAGCAGUGGGGAAUAUUGGACAAUGGGCGAAAGCCUGAUCCAGCCAUGCCGCGUGAGUGAUGAAGGCCUUAGGGUUGUAAAGCUCUUUUGUCAGGGAAGAUAAUGACGGUACCUGAAGAAUAAGCACCGGCUAACUUCGUGCCAGCCGCCGCGGUAA